Molecule: ribosomal RNA, 102 nt
Filed under: Trichomonas gallinae
Lineage: Eukaryota; Parabasalia; Trichomonadida; Trichomonadidae
Description: partial small subunit ribosomal RNA
Rfam family: Eukaryotic small subunit ribosomal RNA
Source: RNAcentral
GCUCCUACCGAUUGGAUGACUCGGUGAAAUCACCGGAUGCUUACGAGCAGAAGUGAUUAAAUCACGUUAUCUAGAGGAAGGAGAAGUCGUAACAAGGUAACG